UACGGAGGGGGCUAGCGUUGUUCGGAUUUACUGGGCGUAAAGCGUGCGUAGGUGGCUUCCCAAGUAAGAAGUGAAAGCCCAGGGCUUAACCCUGGAAUUGCUUUUUAAACUGGGUCGCUAGAAUUUAGGAGAGGCAGAUGGAAUUCCGAGUGUAGAGGUGAAAUUCGUAGAUAUUCGGAGGAACACCAAUGGCGAAAGCAGUCUGCUGGACUAACAUUGACACUGAGGCACGAAAGCGUGGGGAGCAAACAGG
RNAcentral lists this ribosomal RNA (253 nucleotides) under uncultured bacterium. RNAcentral's name for it is "partial 16S ribosomal RNA". It matches the Rfam family "Bacterial small subunit ribosomal RNA", at positions 524 to 776 of the family's 1533-position model. The record is from RNAcentral.